Molecule: ribosomal RNA, 460 nt
Filed under: uncultured bacterium
Lineage: Bacteria
Description: partial 16S ribosomal RNA
Rfam family: Bacterial small subunit ribosomal RNA
Source: RNAcentral
CCUACGGGAGGCAGCAGUGAGGAAUAUUGGUCAAUGGACGAGAGUCUGAACCAGCCAAGUAGCGUGAAGGAUGACUGCCCUAUGGGUUGUAAACUUCUUUUAUAUGGGAAUAAAAUAUUCCACGUGUGGGAUUUUGUAUGUACCAUAUGAAUAAGGAUCGGCUAACUCCGUGCCAGCAGCCGCGGUAAUACGGAGGAUCCGAGCGUUAUCCGGAUUUAUUGGGUUUAAAGGGAGCGUAGGUGGAUUGUUAAGUCAGUUGUGAAAGUUUGCGGCUCAACCGUAAAAUUGCAGUUGAAACUGGCAGUCUUGAGUACAGUAGAGGUGGGCGGAAUUCGUGGUGUAGCGGUGAAAUGCUUAGAUAUCACGAAGAACUCCGAUUGCGAAGGCAGUUCACUGGAAUGCAACUGACACUGAGGCUCGAAAGUGUGGGUAUCAAACAGGAUUAGAUACCCUUGUAGUC